This is a non-coding RNA of Strongylocentrotus purpuratus (purple sea urchin), 45 nucleotides long. NCBI's taxonomy places the organism in Eukaryota, Metazoa, Echinodermata, Echinoidea, Camarodonta, Strongylocentrotidae. The record is from Rfam.
ACAACGGCUCUUUUAAGAGCCACCAAAUUUCCAAGAAAGAAACAG